Molecule: signal recognition particle RNA, 96 nt
Filed under: Ignavibacteria bacterium
Lineage: Bacteria; Pseudomonadati; Ignavibacteriota; Ignavibacteria
Description: Bacterial small signal recognition particle RNA
Rfam family: Bacterial small signal recognition particle RNA
About the family: The signal recognition particle (SRP) is a universally conserved ribonucleoprotein involved in the co-translational targeting of proteins to membranes.
Source: Rfam by way of RNAcentral
UUCCAGGCCCGGCUAAUGAGUUAGUGCCCAACCCCACGAGGUCCGGAAGGAAGCAGUGGUAAGUACGAAGCUUGUGUAGCCGGUAGCCUGGAUUUU